GCUGGAAUAGCUCAGUUGGUAGAGCAUGAGGCUCUUAAUCUCAAGGUUGUGGGUUCAAGCCCCAUGUUGGGCG
This 73-nucleotide transfer RNA is filed under the name Podarcis lilfordi (Lilford's wall lizard). It matches the Rfam family "tRNA". From Rfam's summary of the family: Transfer RNA (tRNA) molecules are approximately 80 nucleotides in length. Their secondary structure includes four short double-helical elements and three loops (D, anti-codon, and T loops). The record is from Rfam by way of RNAcentral. Lineage: Eukaryota; Metazoa; Chordata; Lepidosauria; Squamata; Lacertidae.